RNAcentral lists this ribosomal RNA (301 nucleotides) under uncultured bacterium. RNAcentral describes it as "partial 16S ribosomal RNA". It matches the Rfam family "Bacterial small subunit ribosomal RNA", at positions 509 to 807 of the family's 1533-position model. The record is from RNAcentral.
CAGUAGCCGCGGGAAUACAGAGGGUGCGAGCGUUAAUCGGAUUUACUGGGCGUAAAGCGUGCGUAGGCGGCUAAUUGAGUCGGAUGUGAAAUCCCCGAGCUUAACUUGGGAAUUGCAUUCGAUACUGGGAAGCUAGAGUAUGGGAGAGGAUGGUAGAAUUCCAGGUGUAGCGGUGAAAUGCGUAGAGAUCUGGAGGAAUACCGAUGGCGAAGGCAGCCAUCUGGCCUAAUACUGACGCUGAGGUACGAAAGCAUGGGGAGCAAACAGGAUUAGAUACCCCAGUAGUCCCUGUCUCUUAUAC